GACGAACGCUGGCGGCGUGCUUAACACAUGCAAGUCGAACGGAAAGGCCCUGCUUUUGUGGGGUGCUCGUGUGGCGAACGGGUGAGUAACACGUGAGUAACCUGCCCCUGACUUUGGGAUAACAUCAGGAAACUGGGGCUAAUACCGGAUAGAAGCUCCUGCUGCAUGGUGGGGGUUGGAAAGUUUCGGCGGUUGGGGAUGGACUGGCGGCUUAUCAGCUUGUUGGUGGGGUAGUGGCUUACCAAGGCUUUGACGGCUAGCCGGCCUGAGCGGUUGACCGGCCACAUUGGUACUGCGGUACGGACCAGAAGCCUACGGGAGGCAGCGGGGGAGAGUAUUGCGCAAUGGGCGGAAGUCUGAUGCGACGGCGCCGCGUGCGUGAUGCCGGCUUAUGGGGUGUGAACCGCUUUCGCCUGAGACGAAGCGUUAGUGACGGUAAUGGGUAAAGAAGCACCGGCUAACUACGUG
RNAcentral lists this ribosomal RNA (468 nucleotides) under uncultured bacterium. Its description in RNAcentral is "partial 16S ribosomal RNA". It matches the Rfam family "Bacterial small subunit ribosomal RNA", at positions 28 to 507 of the family's 1533-position model. The record is from RNAcentral.